GCAGGUGAUUAAUCUGUUUACCAUAUUCUUGUACCCUUUUUUAGAUUGCAUUUCAUAAACUAGUUAUUUGUUUUCAACAGCACGUGUGGACAUGCUUACACUGCAUGCAUUGGGGUGGAACCACAAAAAGAGGGCCUCUCUACACCAAGCACUGUCCACUAGAUAUGUAAAGGUAAGUCUGUAUUUGUGGUUUUGUUGUGUCAUGUAUUGACACAUGUGUUGUUCACUUGGCUUGUUAAUCCUUAAGGGCUUUAACCUGAUUAUUGUAUAACACUAUCAGACAUGUCAAAGACUCCUGGACGAGACUGCAAGGCUAGCUGAGCUAAAAACAGAGCUACAUUGCUCGGAUGAUGAAAUGACAUCACAGUGGAUCUCUGAGGUGAUUGAAUGGGCAGCUGGAGGUAAGCAAGACCAGAUAACAGAAAUCAGUUCAGAGAGUGCACAUCGCAUGUUUUACACCCAAGUUGUAUUAAAAUGGAUUUUGUGUGUAGAACAAAAAUAGUCCUGUGUUCUGUUAUAUUGAAUUUACUGUAACUUUUAUUUAUAUAGAGACACCAAAUGCACCUCAUAUUACUGAGGGCACCACACAGAGUGAACUUCAGCAGUCCAUUGUGGGGCUCUACCUUAGUGUCAGGCAACGGAAACAAAGCCUCUACCGUCAGAAUGACAGCAGCAAGUUUCGCCACCGCCUUCGAAGAAAGCUGUGAGAAGACAAAAAAACUGCUUCUUCAGGAGAUGCAGAGGUACAAUGGACUCGUACCAGACUCUGCAGCAAUUGACGUGGCUGCUGUGGAGAACACAUUUACUGGAGAGAGCAAUUGAUGCUGCAUGACGGACUAGACUCCGCGCUGCCAGACCCAUCAAUCACAUAUCCAUGGACACAUAAAAACACGAUAGAAAGCACACAAUAAGAAUUACAAAAAACACAAUAAGAUCAUAAAAGUUGUAGUGAUAGUUUAAACUCCAAUGCAGAACACCAACUGACAGAGGCAUGAAGGAGUUCUUGUAUUGGGUGGUAGCUGGAACUGAGGCACUCAGAGUAGGAGAGUGAUUUAAAAAGCCUUUUUUGCAGCAUGGCCAUACAAUUUAAAAACAAGCCAACGUGUUGCGGCCACAGGCCUUCAUCAGGGCUGAUAUAAAAUGGCCACCCUUAUGUAACCUCCUAUAUAUAGGGAAAGGUCACAUGUCUUGGUGGGCCUUAUAGUAGAAACACAGAUUGUGGUGUUAUCAGCACAAUACAAUAUACAUCCACAUUAAAACGGACAUGAAAGAAGAACAAAUUUAAAAAAUACAAGCAAACAACAAUAGAGAACAAGAAGCACUGUAAAUCAUCAGGUUAGUUAAUAAGGGUUUCUCAUUCAGGAAGCUGAAGGAAGACACAUAUUGGCCAAGGGAGCUGGAUCCCGCCUAGAUCAAAGGAAAGGGGAGAAGUCGAGUUCACCAUUUAGGCCUGGGUAUUGUGCUAGCUUUCAGAGUAUAUAUCCAAAAGGAUUCUCUCUGUAAGAGCCUCCCCUUGCUGAACUAGCUAUAUGCUCUAUGCCCGAGAUCUUCAAGGUAUUACAGCUGCUGUGAUUGGUCUCGUGAUGUAAAGCCAUAGGAUAUUGGGGGUUGCCUGUCCUAAUGGCCUGUUUUUGUUCAGCUAAUCGUACCUUCAAUUUACGUUUCAUUCUCCCAAUAUAAAAUCAGCUACACAGGCAUUCCAGUCUGUACACAACAAACGUAGUGUUGCAAUUUAUAAAUGAUUUAAUAUCAUAUCUGUAACCUGAAGUAACGUCUGUGAAGUGGUUGGCAUUGAUCAUAUAAUCACAAUGAUUGCAAUUGCCACAUUUGUGAUUCCCUGUUCUCAUAUUGAGCCAUGUUUUUUGGGGAGCUGAAGUAAGAUGACUCUUCACCAGUUUAUCAUUAAGUUACCAGUUUAUUAAUUCUACUAUAAGGCCUGCCCAGACAUGUGACCUUACCCUAUAUGUAGGAGGUUACAUAUGGACAGCCAUUUUAUAUCAGCCCUGAUGAAGGCCUGUGGCUGUAACGCGUUGACUUGUUUUAAUUUGUAUGGCCAUGCUGCAAUAAAGACUUUUUAAAUCACUCUCCUACUUGGAGUGCCUCAGUUCCCGCUAUUACCUAGUAUUUGGAUCCUUACACUGAAGAGGACCAGAGGUAGAGACAAAGAGACUAACUUACAAACAACUGAUACCCAUGCAGCACUCAAGGCAUGUUUUUGAUUGAGUUCUUGUAUUGGUUUAAUCUGGACCUCUGAGCUCAGUAUCUCCUGCCUGAUGGUAACAGCUCAGACUGUGAGUGUAGAAUAUGGGAUGAGUCCUGGAUUCUCUUCACCUGUUCCAACACACACCUUUCAGAGACUGCAGAUUGUAAUUAUCUUCAAGGCCAAUCAUUUUCAUGGCGGUUUGAACCAGGUGCAUUAGCUUUAAUUUAGCAGGGAGGUUCUCAAACCAAACAGUCAUACCUUAUCUGAUUACGCUCUCACACACAGCCUGAUAAAAUAAAACAUAAUUCUCUGCUCAACUCUGUACAGUUGCAGUCUCCUUAGAAAGUACAAUCUUUGGAGGAGUCUAGAACACAUGCAGUCUACAUGGGUGGUCCAUGUUAAAGUUCUGUGUAUGUGGAAACUAAGGUACUUGUAGGACUGGAUUUGUGCAACUAGUUGGUUGUGGAUGACAAUUUUGCUGUGAUCACAGACUCCUUUGGGAUCGAAAAUUAUCUCCUCUGUCUUUUUAACAUUUUUUGUGAGAUGAUUGGUAUCUCACCACUCAACAAACCUUUCCACUCCAGAAUGAUAAAUGUUAGUGCUGUCAUGCACCUGAAGUAAGCUCAGCGCUGCAGAGUCAUCAGAGUAUUUGAAAUUAUAAUUCUGUGCGUGACUUGCUGAGCACUCAUUUGUGAACCGUGUGAACAGAACUGGUGAGCUGACGCACCCCUGUGGAGCUCCCGUGCUUAUGGUUUUUACCUGAGAAACACUAUUACUGACCUUAAGUAGCUGAGUUGUGUUUGUUAAAAAGGAGUGAUACCAUCUUAUAACUGAGGGGCUGACAGCCAGUUGUUUCAGUUUCUGAAUCAAAAGAUGUGGCUGAAGCGUGUUAAAAGCAGAGCUAAAAUCAAUAAAAAGCAGUCACCCCACUAUCCUCACGAUGUUGGCCUAUAUCUGCGUUUUACUAUAUUGCUAAGUUAUACAUACCAUGUCCAAGGCAGUGUCUAUAGUGUCCAGAAAUAAAAAUCACUGUGUGCACAUGAAUGGAGGUCAUGCAUUGUUUCUGUGUGUGUUACUUUGACACUUAUUUAAUAUCGUAAGUUUGUCUUAAAAUGUAUUAUGGAACAUUUAAGACAUAUAACUACAACUAUCACUGAAACUCUUUCUGUCAUCCUCCACUAUGGACAAAGGGCAACCUUCAAACCGCCCCCUUGGGAGGGGGGAGACUGGCGAUUGCACCGGCAGCAGCCGACAGAUUUAUUAUGUUAGGUUAUUGUUUAAUAAUCAUUAUGAAUGAGGGUGAGUAUAUGGUGCUUAGUGUUUACAAAAUCAACUUUAAUCUGUCUUCACAAAUUAAAGUUGGUGAUGUGUCUGAUUGGAGCACAGCUGCUGACAGAUGUGCAGCUGUCAGUAAGUACAUUUACAUGCACAGUUUAGUCAGAUUACAUCCAUAGGUGACUAUGCUACUCAAUCAGACAUUUUUUGGCCGAAGCGUGUCAUACCCCGGUACGAUAGGUGGCGCUGUACCCAUUUCAACUAGUGGUAACAGAGUUACCUCCGGCUGACCUCUUUACGUCACCAGCUGCCUCAGCAUUCAAGAAAGAUGAUGUACGAAAAGCGAGACGAAGCUACAUCUUUGUACAUUUCAUAUAUGGUGUACAUGAUAAUUACACAAACUAGGGGCACAAUGGCGCUCUUUCUUGCGGUGAUUUCGGAGGAAAGACGCAACCACCGCCGUCCGUCUACUUCCGGCUCACGGCCCCGGGGAAAAAAUCUCGCGCCUGCGCAGAACGCAAAAUCCGAUCCGAUCUGAUGGCUCUGAGUGACAGUUUCCUCAUCACUGAACGUGGGCCACAAUCUGAUCUUCAAUCACUCACGUCGUGAGGACGGGACAAAGUCUCUAGGACAUAUAAGGCAUAGGCCUUUCGCCUGUGUAUAUUCUGUGAUUUUUUUUCUCUCUUCAUCCGUCUCGUUUUAGUUUUUGGCGGUGCGCACCCGGUGUUUCUCUCGAGCGAGACCUAGCUGUUUUGAAAACAUGACAAAAUCCUACCGCCACUGAACGCAUCUCCGUCAGUCAAGCAUAUCUGUAGUCACGUCUGACAGACAUCUACUAAACCGUAAUAAAUGUAUAUGUAUAUGUUUUUCGGACAUACAUUUUCCAAUUAUAUGACCAUAUAUCUCAAGGUUAAACUUUUUGUAUUAAAAAGUAACCAGAUAUAUGUUUUCUCAACCCUAAUCUAUCAAUCAAACCCCAUCAACUGAAAACUACAAAGAUGCGGAAAUGUCCGGAAGUCGCAAUACACAUUGCUAUGCGCCACCAUGUUGUUUUGUAGUUCCAAUGUGUUUUCUCUAUUAUGUGAAGUCAUAACCAAGAAUAUUGUUGGCUUAUUGGUAGGUUUUAAGGAUAGGGAACACAUAUAAUAGGUGAAAAUUCAUGCAUCUUAUUGACAACAUGAUCAUGUUUUUUUUAGAUUUGGGCCUUCAUCAGUGGCGCCCCCUAUUGACACUGAUUCGGUUAUAGUAGUUUAGAUCAAGAGCUUUCCAAAACUGUUGAUCCCAUAUCUGUAGCACUUUUUGUUGCUGAUUUAGAAGCCUUCAAAAACGUCCCAAUUUCAAGGUUCAAAGGUCAUUCCUGAGGAGAAGGAAACACCCACAUGUCCCAUUCUGAAAUAUGUUACUCCCUAGGUCAAGACCUUUCAAAUGAUGUCUUCAUUGUUCACUUACGAUAAAAUUUCAUUUUAAUCUUGCUCCCAGCUAAGCCUCUUUCAGGUGUACUUUCUCAGAUGCCUUAGGGUCACAUAAGAUAAGCCCAACAUUUGUUAAGGCCUAUUUAAUGGCCAAAUAUGUUCAAGAUAUUAAUGUCUGCCUUCCACACAGUCAGAUUUUUCAAUUUGGAUCAGAUAAGACCCAAUCUUCCCCUACAAAUACAUAUUCUUGCAAAUAAGCAUAUUUCCCCAUUCCCUUAAUAUGGCUAUAAACAUAGCAUAGGCUAUAGCUACUGCACCCUUUCCCACGCUGACAGGAUAGAUCAGUGGUUUCCAAACUUUCUCUACUGCGGGCCCCCCUUUGGCUCAUUAGAAUUUUCUAAUCUAGCAUUCAGGAACAUUCUCAUCAUUGAUUAAAACCAUUUAUUGCAACAAAGUUAUACAGUUAGACUUGGCACUGAAGGCUCCACUGUAGAAUGGAUGUGAUUGGGUAGAGACUAAUCAGCUGGCUGUCAGAUGACAACAGCUGGGGGCCACUUACGACUUCAAUGUCCUGCAUGAAUUUGCGCAAAGCUUCAUUUAUAGAAGAUGAUGAUGGUUACACCCCGCCUUUCCGAAACCCCGCUGUUCCGAACAUAGACUUCAAUUCAUCGUAAUGGCGGGGUUUCCCUUUUUUUCAAAGACCCCGCUAUUCCGAAAAGUCUAUUGGGGAAACCCCUCCAUUCCGAAACCCCCCCACUCCGAACGGACUCAAUCAGAAAGGAAACGGAGGCUGCACAUUUAUCCUUUUUUUCUUUGUGGGUUCAAACGGAUCAGGUGGCUGAUUAACCGCAA
Molecule: long non-coding RNA, 5742 nt
Organism: Sparus aurata (gilthead seabream)
Lineage: Eukaryota; Metazoa; Chordata; Actinopteri; Spariformes; Sparidae
Source: Ensembl